GCAAGUCGAACGAACUCUGGUAUUGAUUGGUGCUUGCAUCAUGAUUUACAUUUGAGUGAGUGGCGAACUGGUGAGUAACACGUGGGAAACCUGCCCAGAAGCGGGGGAUAACACCUGGAAACAGAUGCUAAUACCGCAUAACAACUUGGACCGCAUGGUCCGAGUUUGAAAGAUGGCUUCGGCUAUCACUUUUGGAUGGUCCCGCGGCGUAUUAGCUAGAUGGUGGGGUAACGGCUCACCAUGGCAAUGAUACGUAGCCGACCUGAGAGGGUAAUCGGCCACAUUGGGACUGAGACACGGCCCAAACUCCUACGGGAGGCAGCAGUAGGGAAUCUUCCACAAUGGACGAAAGUCUGAUGGAGCAACGCCGCGUGAGUGAAGAAGGGUUUCGGCUCGUAAAACUCUGUUGUUAAAGAAGAACAUAUCUGAGAGUAACUGUUCAGGUAUUGACGGUAUUUAACCAGAAAGCCACGGCUAACUACGUGCCAGCAGCCGCGGUAAUACGUAGGUGGCAAGCGUUGUCCGGAUUUAUUGGGCGUAAAGCGAGCGCAGGCGGUUUUUUAAGUCUGAUGUGAAAGCCUUCGGCUCAACCGAAGAAGUGCAUCGGAAACUGGGAAACUUGAGUGCAGAAGAGGACAGUGGAACUCCAUGUGUAGCGGUGAAAUGCGUAGAUAUAUGGAAGAACACCAGUGGCGAAGGCGGCUGUCUGGUCUGUAACUGACGCUGAGGCUCGAAAGUAUGGGUAGCAAACAGGAUUAGAUACCCUGGUAGUCCAUACCGUAAACGAUGAAUGCUAAGUGUUGGAGGGUUUCCGCCCUUCAGUGCUGCAGCUAACGCAUUAAGCAUUCCGCCUGGGGAGUACGGCCGCAAGGCUGAAACUCAAAGGAAUUGACGGGGGCCCGCACAAGCGGUGGAGCAUGUGGUUUAAUUCGAAGCUACGCGAAGAACCUUACCAGGUCUUGACAUACUAUGCAAAUCUAAGAGAUUAGACGUUCCCUUCGGGGACAUGGAUACAGGUGGUGCAUGGUUGUCGUCAGCUCGUGUCGUGAGAUGUUGGGUUAAGUCCCGCAACGAGCGCAACCCUUAUUAUCAGUUGCCAGCAUUAAGUUGGGCACUCUGGUGAGACUGCCGGUGACAAACCGGAGGAAGGUGGGGAUGACGUCAAAUCAUCAUGCCCCUUAUGACCUGGGCUACACACGUGCUACAAUGGAUGGUACAACGAGUUGCGAACUCGCGAGAGUAAGCUAAUCUCUUAAAGCCAUUCUCAGUUCGGAUUGUAGGCUGCAACUCGCCUACAUGAAGUCGGAAUCGCUAGUAAUCGCGGAUCAGCAUGCCGCGGUGAAUACGUUCCCGGGCCUUGUACACACCGCCCGUCACACCAUGAGAGUUUGUAACACCCAAAGUCGGUGGGGUAACCUUUUAGGAACC
This 1428-nucleotide ribosomal RNA is filed under the name Lactiplantibacillus pentosus. Its description in RNAcentral is "bacterial SSU rRNA". It matches the Rfam family "Bacterial small subunit ribosomal RNA". The record is from RNAcentral. Lineage: Bacteria; Bacillati; Bacillota; Bacilli; Lactobacillales; Lactobacillaceae. RNAcentral also lists the same sequence under 1 other name.